This 352-nucleotide unclassified non-coding RNA is filed under the name soil metagenome. RNAcentral's name for it is "partial contains 5.8S ribosomal RNA, internal transcribed spacer 2, and large subunit ribosomal RNA". The stretch from base 1 to 120 matches the Rfam family "5.8S ribosomal RNA", at positions 35 to 154 of the family's 154-position model. The record is from RNAcentral.
GAUGAAGAACGUAGCGAAAUGCGAUAAGUAAUGUGAAUUGCAGAAUUCAGUGAAUCAUCGAAUCUUUGAACGCACAUUGCGCCCGCCAGUAUUCUGGCGGGCAUGCCUGUUCGAGCGUCAUUUCAACCCUCAGGCCCCCAGUGCCUGGUGUUGGGGAUCGGCCCAGCCUUCCUGUAAGGCCGCCGGCCCCGAAAUCUAGUGGCGGUCUCGCUGUAGUCCUCCUCUGCGUAGUAGCACAACCUCGCAGUUGGAACGCGGCGGUGGCCAUGCCGUUAAACACCCCACUUCUGAAAGUUGACCUCGAAUCAGGUAGGAAUACCCGCUGAACUUAAGCAUAUCAAUAAGCGGAGGA